Pelobates cultripes (western spadefoot toad) is the source of this 244-nucleotide non-coding RNA. The record is from the annotation of a GenBank genome assembly. NCBI's taxonomy places the organism in Eukaryota, Metazoa, Chordata, Amphibia, Anura, Pelobatidae.
CAUACCAUUUGAAAAAGUAGACAGCCCAGGGUAUUCAAAAUGGGGUAUGUCCAGUCUCUUAUAGUAGCCACUUAGUCACAAACACUGGCCAAAGUUAGCAUUUAUAUUUGUUUGUGUUUGAAAAAUGCAAAAAACUAAUAUGAACACUAACUUUGGCCAGUGUUUGUGACUAGGUGGCUACUAGAAAUAACUGGACAUACCCUAUUUUCAAUGCUUUGGGUUGUCUACUUUUGCAAAUGGUAUG